This 253-nucleotide ribosomal RNA is filed under the name uncultured bacterium. RNAcentral describes it as "partial 16S ribosomal RNA". It matches the Rfam family "Bacterial small subunit ribosomal RNA", at positions 524 to 776 of the family's 1533-position model. The record is from RNAcentral.
CACGUAGGCACCAAGCGUUGUCCGGAAUCAUUGGGCGUAAAGAGCGCGCAGGCGGCUUGGCAAGUCGGGUGUGAAAUCCCGGGGCUCAACCCCGUGACUGCAUCCGAUACUGUCAGGCUAGAGGUAGGUAGGGGAGAUCGGAAUUCCUGGUGUAGCGGUGAAAUGCGCAGAUAUCAGGAGGAACACCGGUGGCGAAGGCGGAUCUCUGGGCCUUACCUGACGCUCAGGCGCGAAAGCUAGGGGAGCGAACAGG